CUGGAGACUUAGAAAAGAGAGUCCUUGAAGUCAAGUUGACUCUUACUGUUAGCCUCCUAGAUGAAAAGGUGGAUAGAACAGGUCUUGUUUGCAAAAUAAAUUCAAGACCUACUUAUCUACCUACAGCC
Molecule: non-coding RNA, 128 nt
Organism: Jaculus jaculus (lesser Egyptian jerboa)
Lineage: Eukaryota; Metazoa; Chordata; Mammalia; Rodentia; Dipodidae
Source: Ensembl